CCCUCUUCUACUCUCCUCCUCCUCUGUUUUUGUUUGUGCUGUGACACAUGAAAACGAGUAUGUUAGCACCGCUGGUCUCCGCCGUUGGCAAGAGAGAGAUCCCACAAGGAGCAACAACACGUGACAGAUACAACAACCAGGUUGAUUCUCUCUCUACUUAUCUCGCUUUGUCUAUCUCUCCCUCGUUUCCUUCCUCUCUCGCUAUACAUUUAUGCAUACAACCCCUAAUUUCAGAAACCCUAGUUUUUUUGUUGACAAGAAACCAAAUUCAAAAAACCCUUAAUUUUUUGCAGAAAUUAAACCCAAUUUUGAAAUUCAUUGGAGCUUUUGUUUAUUCUGAUUGUUGUUUUGUACAAUUUCUUGGAGUUUCAUUUGAUUGAAGAUCUUCUCACUUGAUUCCGUGGAAGUCCGGUGUCGCUGACGUAACAUUCGUGCUCUGAGAUCUACAAAGGUGUGGCCUUAAAGUGUAAAAUUCUUCAUGAAAGGCGAGGAUGGUGGCGAUGCGUGACGAGGCAGUGUUGGAGCAGGGUGAUGGUGGCUCGAAUAUAUGGUGGGGAUAUCAUAAGGACUGUCAUUGUGACGUUUCCUGCUCGUAGGGAAUAGAUUCUGUACGGAGUUGGUGUUUUUGUAAGGUGAGAAUGUACAGCUUCAAUACAAAUUCACCAAAUUCUCACUUCUCUUGAUUGCUUGUUCGUUUUGCGUGGACAAUUGAUGCACCUCUCCACUUAGCUUUUGUACAAGGUUCAUCAAUGAUUCAAUUUCCUCUUCAUUUUCUACAACAAAGGUCUUCAGUAACUAAAAUUGGAAUAGGUGGAGGGAGAAGUAGAUAUUUAACCCUUUUUUUUUUU
This is a long non-coding RNA of Rhododendron vialii, 848 nucleotides long. RefSeq lists it as uncharacterized. NCBI's taxonomy places the organism in Eukaryota, Viridiplantae, Streptophyta, Magnoliopsida, Ericales, Ericaceae. The transcript has 3 exons. The record is from RefSeq and is a predicted model, not a curated record.